Molecule: transfer-messenger RNA, 115 nt
Filed under: Streptococcus thermophilus
Lineage: Bacteria; Bacillati; Bacillota; Bacilli; Lactobacillales; Streptococcaceae
Description: partial transfer-messenger RNA
Rfam family: transfer-messenger RNA
About the family: Bacterial tmRNA, also known as 10Sa RNA or SsrA, is named for its dual tRNA and mRNA-like properties. Its role is to liberate the mRNA from a stalled ribosome.
Source: RNAcentral
UAGAAGGCUUGAGUUAUGUGUCGCCUAUCUGUUAAAUGAAAGACAUAACCUAUGGUCGUAGACGAAUAUGUUGGCAGAUGCUUGGACGUGGGUUCGACUCCCACCGGCUCCAUAA